RNAcentral lists this ribosomal RNA (498 nucleotides) under uncultured soil bacterium. RNAcentral describes it as "bacterial SSU rRNA". It matches the Rfam family "Bacterial small subunit ribosomal RNA", at positions 26 to 524 of the family's 1533-position model. The record is from RNAcentral.
AGAUUGAACGCUGGCGGCAUGCUUUACACAUGCAAGUCGAACGGUAACAGGCCGCAAGGUGCUGACGAGUGGCGAACGGGUGAGUAAUGUAUCGGAACGUGCCCAGUCGUGGGGGAUAACGCAGCGAAAGCUGCGCUAAUACCGCAUACGAUCUAUGGAUGAAAGCGGGGGACCGUAAGGCCUCGCGCGAUUGGAGCGGCCGAUAUCAGAUUAGGUAGUUGGUGGGGUAAAGGCUCACCAAGCCAACGAUCUGUAGCUGGUCUGAGAGGACGACCAGCCACACUGGGACUGAGACACGGCCCAGACUCCUACGGGAGGCAGCAGUGGGGAAUUUUGGACAAUGGGCGCAAGCCUGAUCCAGCAAUGCCGCGUGCAGGAAGAAGGCCUUCGGUUGUAAACUGCUUUUGUACGGAACGAAACGGUCCUGGUUAAUACCUGGGCUAAUGACGGUACCGUAAGAAUAAGCACGGCUAACUACGUGCCAGCAGCCGCGGUAAC